RNAcentral lists this ribosomal RNA (488 nucleotides) under uncultured bacterium. Its description in RNAcentral is "bacterial SSU rRNA". It matches the Rfam family "Bacterial small subunit ribosomal RNA", at positions 19 to 507 of the family's 1533-position model. The record is from RNAcentral.
AUGGCUCAGGAUGAACGCUGCGGCGUGCUUAACACAUGCAAGUCGAACGGAACUACUUUGAUGAGAUUCUUCGGAAAGGAAUUGAUUUAGUUUAGUGGCGGACGGGUGAGUAACGCGUGGGUAACCUGCCUCAUACAGGGGGAUAACAGUUGGAAACGACUGUUAAUACCGCAUAAGCGCACGGCAUCGCAUGAUGCAGUGUGAAAAACUCCGGUGGUAUGAGAUGGACCCGCGUCUGAUUAGCUAGUUGGUGAGGUAACGGCCCACCAAGGCGACGAUCAGUAGCCGGCCUGAGAGGGUGAACGGCCACAUUGGGACUGAGACACGGCCCAAACUCCUACGGGAGGCAGCAGUGGGGAAUAUUGCACAAUGGGGGAAACCCUGAUGCAGCGACGCCGCGUGAGCGAAGAAGUAUUUCGGUAUGUAAAGCUCUAUCAGCAGGGAAGAAAAUGACGGUACCUGACUAAGAAGCCCCGGCUAACUACGUG